UAACACGUGGGGAACCUGCCCCAUAGUCUGGGGUACCACUUGGAAACAGGUGCUAAUACCGGAUAAGAAAGCGGAUCGCAUGAUCAGCUUUUAAAAGGCGGCGUAAGCUGUUGCUAUGGGAUGGCCCCGCGGUGCAUUAGCUAGUUGGUAAGGUAAAGGCUUACCAAGGCGAUGAUGCAUAGCCGAGUUGAGAGACUGAUCGGCCACAUUGGGACUGAGACACGGCCCAAACUCCUACGGGAGGCAGCAGUC
Molecule: ribosomal RNA, 252 nt
Filed under: uncultured Lactobacillus sp.
Lineage: Bacteria; Bacillati; Bacillota; Bacilli; Lactobacillales; Lactobacillaceae
Description: partial 16S ribosomal RNA
Rfam family: Bacterial small subunit ribosomal RNA
Source: RNAcentral